UACGGGGGGGGCAAGCGUUGUUCGGAAUUACUGGGCGUAAAGGGCUCGUAGGCGGCCAACUAAGUCGGACGUGAAAUCCCUCGGCUUAACCGGGGAACUGCGUCCGAUACUGGAUGGCUUGAGAUUGGGAGAGGGAUGCGGAAUUCCAGGUGUAGCGGUGAAAUGCGCAGAUAUCAGGAAGAACACCCGUGGCGAAGGCGGUUCUCUGGGACGGUACUGACGCUGAGACGCGAAAGCGUGGGGAGCAAACAGG
Molecule: ribosomal RNA, 253 nt
Filed under: uncultured bacterium
Lineage: Bacteria
Description: partial 16S ribosomal RNA
Rfam family: Bacterial small subunit ribosomal RNA
Source: RNAcentral